GGCUAUCGCGAUGGUAAGUACGUCAGUUUCUCAUCUAUGUCACUUAAAAAAUAGGCCGAUCAUUGGCCGAUAUAGUCUUUAACUUGAAUAAUAUUGACACGUCCAGAUGAUGUUGAGGUCAGACUUCCAUCGACCUCAGCUUUCAGAUGAGGUCGGCCUCCCGAUGAGGCUGGCUUCCUGGGGACCACGAUCUUUCGAUAAGGUC
RNAcentral lists this long non-coding RNA (205 nucleotides) under Elaeis guineensis (African oil palm). Its description in RNAcentral is "long non-coding RNA (EGUI_LNC006394)". The record is from RNAcentral. Lineage: Eukaryota; Viridiplantae; Streptophyta; Magnoliopsida; Arecales; Arecaceae.